This 1124-nucleotide long non-coding RNA is filed under the name Marmota monax (woodchuck). The record is from RNAcentral. Lineage: Eukaryota; Metazoa; Chordata; Mammalia; Rodentia; Sciuridae.
GGAAUCUUCUAGGCUUUGUUUCAGAUUUGACAGCUUUUCUAUUUUUGAGGCAUCCCAAAUAUGUUUUGUAUCAUCACCUCCAUUUCACCGUCCCUUGUGUGCUUUUAUUUUAAUACAGUGAAGACUUUGUCUCACAGUAAACAGUGUGAUUAUGUUCUCUUCUACCACUUAGUGGUUUUCGGUACUUAAGUUUGUCUAAUGGGCUCAUGACUGAAAGGCAGAGUCAGUUCCCUUUGCUGAUUUAGUACAGAACAUAUGCAAAUAGCAUUGGAUUGGAUAAUGUGCAGGAAAGUUGUUCUAUCAAACCACCACAUUUAGUCUGGGGUUGUAGACACUUGCCUAGCUAGCAUGUGUGAGGCACUGGGUUCAAAUCUCAGCACUACAUAUAAAUAAAUUAAAAAAUAAUAAUAGUCUAUUGACAACUUGAAAAAAAAAAAAACCACUACAUUUGGCAGUAAGUUUGCCAAUCAUGGUAAGGAUAUCUGCCCAAUAUCUGAGUUGCUUUUCUAUAUAGCACUUCGACCCUCAAACCUAUCUUAUAUUAGAUGUCAUUUCUAACCUCCUGUACUCCUUCAUGAGCUAGAGGAGAAGAUCGCUUAUGCUUUUAUGGAUUAUUUGAGCAAUCCCAUGUACCAUCCCACAGUCACUUCCCCUCCCCUUGCCUUUGUGUAUCUAAUUUGACAGAAUGGUAGCAGUGACACAUUUUAGUGUGCUCCAGUGAGACCAAGCUUAUUCUAUAGGUCUAAAAUGUAUGGUAGCCUCAACAUUCUUCAAAUUCCUUAAAGAAGAUGAAUAAGAAAAAAAAAAAAAAACCCACCCAAAACCCCCCAAACUCUGAAAAGUCAAAAUUAUUAGUUAAAAUUUUCAUUUCACACACAAAUUUUUCUUUUAACUAGUUACGAGACUCUGAAUCCUCCCUUAGAACCUUGAUAUUCUUACUUUGAAGUGAUCGUCUAGCUAUUCAGCUUUUUUUUUGAGGGGGUGAGGUGGAGACCAGGGGUGUUCACUGAGCUGCAUCCCAAUCUCCCCCUUUUUUAAAAAAUUUUGAGCAGAGUCUUGCUAAAUUAUUUAAGGCCUUGAUAAAUUGCUAAGGCUGCCUUUGAACUUGAUAUCCUCCUCUGUCA